RNAcentral lists this long non-coding RNA (414 nucleotides) under Elaeis guineensis (African oil palm). RNAcentral's name for it is "long non-coding RNA (EGUI_LNC031700)". Lineage: Eukaryota; Viridiplantae; Streptophyta; Magnoliopsida; Arecales; Arecaceae. The record is from RNAcentral.
CAAUUUAUAAGCUCUGAUAAAGUAAAUACCAGCAUUCUAGUGACAAAAUUAGUCUCCACAAAAUAUAUAGACAAAUCUGAUAUACAUGAGUAUAUUAUGGAGAUGAAGAAUAUUACAGCGCAUUUAAUUAAAUGAUAUUAAGACUUACAUAUUAGAUACAUUCCUGAUCCAUUUUAUUCUUACUUUUUUUCCAUUAGAGUACGAUCUCGUUAAGAUCUCCUGUAAUACACACAAUGAAGAUUGGAUAGUUAAUUAUUACUGACUAAAUGUAUAUAAGAGGGGAAGAGAUUGAGAGAGGAGAAGAUAAAGAGUGUGAACUUUGCUUUACAUUAGGUUAGUGGAAAAGCAUGCAAAGGAAUGGGUGCACCCAAAGUAAAAGAGAAUAAAGUAAUUACUAUGAUAUCAGGUAAAGCC